RNAcentral lists this ribosomal RNA (424 nucleotides) under uncultured bacterium. Its description in RNAcentral is "bacterial SSU rRNA". It matches the Rfam family "Bacterial small subunit ribosomal RNA", at positions 508 to 930 of the family's 1533-position model. The record is from RNAcentral.
UCAGCAGCCGCGGUAAUACAGAGGUCCCAAGCGUUGUUCGGAUUCACUGGGCGUAAAGGGUGCGCAGGUGGCCGCGCAAGUUCGAUGUGAAAGCCCCGGGCUUAACCCGGGAAUGGCAUUGAAAACUGCGUGGCUGGAGGAUCGGAGGGGGGACUGGAAUUCUUGGUGUAGCAGUGAAAUGCGUAGAUAUCAAGAGGAACACCAGUGGCGAAGGCGAGUCCCUGGACGAUACCUGACACUGAGGCACGAAAGCCAAGGGAGCAAACAGGAUUAGAUACCCUGGUAGUCUUGGCUGUAAACGGUGCGCAUUUGCUGUAAACGGAAUCGACCCCGUUUGUGGCGAAGCUAACGCGAUAAAUGCGCCGCCUGGGAAGUACGGUCGCAAGAUUAAAACUCAAAGGAAUUGACGGGGGCCCGCACAAGA